Molecule: long non-coding RNA, 460 nt
Organism: Pectinophora gossypiella (pink bollworm)
Lineage: Eukaryota; Metazoa; Arthropoda; Insecta; Lepidoptera; Gelechiidae
Exons: 2
Source: RefSeq, a predicted model, not a curated record
AAAACAUUACAUUAAGAAAUCAAGUUCAAUAACAAGGAAGUGCUUAGGUAAGUAUGUAGUUAUAAACCAAACGAGCAUUGGAAAACAUUUGUCGACAACAGAACGUCAAAAACCAAACUGAGUAGAGGCCAAGGUCUGAUAUAAAGCGAUGUUCGUGUAAUUAUCGCACACUCGUGGAAAAACAACAUGAAGUCUGUGGCCAUUGUCUUACUAAUCAUCUGUGCGAACGUCGCCUAUUCCGUUGCCGAAGACGGUUGCCCGGCCGGCGAACACAACCCAGGCCCGAACUGCGGACUCGAGCCUUCCUGCGCACCCCGCAGCUCACACUUCAUACCGAAGCACACCUGCGACUGUUGGUGCAUCCCCGGCACCUACAGAAACACCGACACCAACACCUGCGUUGAACGAUGCUGAUUUGAAUUUGGAAAUGUUUUAAUAAUAAAAUGAUGAGUAAAGUAUA